GACGAACGCUGGCGGCGUGCCCAACACAUGCAAGUUGAGCGACGAACCAGGGCUUGCCCUGGGGCAAAGCAGCGAACGGGUGAGUAACACGUGGGUAACCUACCCCGAUAACCGGGACCACACGAGGAAACUCGGGCUAAUACCGGAUGUGCUCACUGGACUUCGGUUCAGUGCGUAAAGGAAGCUUCGGCCUCCGUAUCGGGAGGGGCCCGCGGCCCAUUAGUUAGUUGGUGAGGUAACGGCUCACCAAGACCGCGAUGGGUAGCUGGUCUGAGAGGACGAUCAGCCACACUGGGACUGAGACACGGCCCAGACUCCUACGGGAGGCAGCAGUGGGGAAUCUUGCGCAAUGCGCGAAAGCGUGACGCAGCAACGCCGCGUGGGGGAAGAAGGCCUUCGGGUUGUAAACCCCUUUCAGGAGGGACGAAGGUUCGGCGGUGAAUAGCCGUCCGGACUGACGGUACCUGCACAAGAAGCCCCGGCUAACUACGUGCCAGCCGCCGCGGUAA
This 509-nucleotide ribosomal RNA is filed under the name uncultured bacterium. RNAcentral's name for it is "partial 16S ribosomal RNA". It matches the Rfam family "Bacterial small subunit ribosomal RNA", at positions 28 to 523 of the family's 1533-position model. The record is from RNAcentral.